CUACGGGAGGCACCAGUGGGGAAUAUUGCACAAUGGGCGCAAGCCUGAUGCAGCAACGCCGCGUGAGGGAUGAAGGCCUUCGGGUUGUAAACCUCUUUUAGCAGGGAAGAAGCGAAAGUGACGGUACCUGCAGAAAAAGCACCGGCUAACUACGUGCCAGCAGCCGGGUAAUACGUAGGGUGCAAGCGUUGUCCGGAAUUAUUGGGCGUAAAGAGCUCGUAGGCGGUUUGUCACGUCUGCUGUGAAAAUCCAAGGCUCAACCUUGGACUUGCAGUGGGUACGGGCAGGCUAGAGUGCGGUAGGGGGGAUGGGAAUUCCUGGUGUAGCGGUGGAAUGCGCAGAUAUCAGGAGGAACACCAAUGGCGAAGGCACAUCUCUGGGCCGUAACUGACGCUGAGGAGCAAAAGCGUGGGGAGCGAACAGGAUUAGAUACCCCCGUAGUC
Molecule: ribosomal RNA, 443 nt
Filed under: uncultured bacterium
Lineage: Bacteria
Description: partial 16S ribosomal RNA
Rfam family: Bacterial small subunit ribosomal RNA
Source: RNAcentral